UGCUCUUCGGCGUAAAAAGAAUACAAGAAAAAAUGCUGAAUCAGGACAAAAAAUCAUUAAACUCCAGAAAUAGAAGGAAACAUAGUAAGUUUUUCAUCUCCUACCACGUACAGUUUCAUAGCAAAAUUUAAGUACACUUUGCAUUCAGUGCUAGUCACUAAGAUUUUGUUGUGCUGGGUAAACCAGAUCUAUCAGGAAUUGAUCUGUCACACUUCUUGCAAACUUCAUAGUACUGUCACUCUGUAUUUUACCGCUGUUCUUUUCUUUGUAGAAGUCAAGUGUGUAAUUUGCAUCGUUGCUCUGAAAGUAAAUUGCUAUUGAGUCUUGACACCUGCCAGCACUGGUGUUCAUUUCAAGCUGUAAAACACUACUUUGAAAUAAAUUUGGGGAAACUCAUUAAAUGUUGUCAGCUGUAUCAUCCAUACUAACAGAAAAUAAUGUAGCUAAAUGCGUCUGGUUUCUAUUUCCUAUUCAAAAAUGAACAAAGCUUCUUAAAACCUUCUUUCCAAUACUUUAAAAGUUUUUUUCUAAAUCUAAAUCCACUGAUUUUUACCAGUUUUAUGCACACGCUAUUUUCCCCAUUUGUUCUUAUAUCAGAAAUAUGUUCAGUUUCUGUUUUUAUACUUAGGAAGUUCGACAUCCAAUUAAAGGAUUAACUGGGCCAAAUCUGACAAGAACUCUGAAUAUGAAAUUCCCCUAGACUGUGAUAUUUCCAAAUUCAGAUGUAAACUAAAUUUAACCAUAUUAAUACAACACAGUGCUUAAAGUCAGCAGAACCUGGGUUUUGACCCUGGCUGUUGCUGGUUAACUCCCUAGGAUUUCAGAGGUGUGGAGUGUAAAAAUCCAAGGAAAUAAUUUAGACCUAAGUGUAGGAAUUGUAUAAAUGCUUAUGAUUGCUUCUUUACUCAUUUCUAACAACAAUCUCCCUUACCGAGCAGAUUUAUCUUCUCCACCUUUAGGUUCACAUUUUCUAAAUAACUUUAGUGAAUCUGGAUUGAGAUGUGUCAUACAUCUUAUUCUUGCGGUAAUUUUCAUUAUUAAAACAAAGGUGUUUUUAAUCAUGUGUAAUCAGCAGAUGAUUUGAGCUGGGAAGUGUAUAUAAAUUAAUACUAAUUUACUGUGGUGUUGAUAGAUUUAUUUUUCAAAAGGUUGUAAGAAGAGCAUGAGAGGAAGAAAACCACUCAUGAGCUUGAUGUACCCUUCAUACUUGUGUUCCCACAAACCAGAAUCACCAAAUCUAGUUCAAGAAAAUAUUUUUAUUAUUAUUAUUAUUAUUAUUUUGUCCCUGAAGGUAGAUAACUAUGAUGUAGUAAUGCUUUACAGAUAACUGUGAUCAUACCACUUUUUUUUUCUUGAACCUCCACCAACUCCAAUCAUGCAGAGUUCAAACUUCUUGCCUUAAUAUACAGGUCCCUUAAAAUUCUGUGUGCCUCACUGGAUGGAGUUAGUAUCCCAAUACCUCCUGUUUCAUAAGGGAGUUCAAUUUUGAUCCUAUGCCUGAGUGUUUGUAUUUGAGUUCAUUCUGUCCAGUCACUCCUUUCUUUCACUGAAUUAAUCUUUUAAAUUAUUACUUACUAAUGUCUCCUUUAAAUCCUUUCUCAGGAUCUGCCUAUUCCAGAAGCAGUGUGUAAAGGGCUAGCCAAAAAGAAACCUUAGAUGGUUGCUGGCCUAAGGCAUAUAUUAAAAGUAAAGCCAGCAAUUGUUUCUAAUCUGUAAAUUCGUUUGACAUUAUAUGUUGUAAGCUCAUGAGGAGAAAAAAAAAAAAAAAAAAAAAAGACAGUGUAUAACUUUUUAUAAUACUUAUUAUAAAUACUUAUUUUUGCUGCAGAACUUGACUGUGGCAAAAUAGUAAACUGAUAGGUCUACCCAAAAUGAAUAUAUUAAUAGUCAUUGUUCUUGAUAAGUAGAUGAUUUUCAGUCAAAGAUGCAUUAAAAUUUUGUAAGGAGUGAUGUGACCUCCAUAACACUAGUCCCUCUCAUAGGUCAUGCAGAUGCUUUACUGUGGCUGAGAGGAAGUACUGAAAGCAGGUAAAAAGUAGAAGUUGCCCUGGAAGUCCUCAGGGAAUCAUUCAAACAGUAUUAGACAAUAUUCAUAUAAUCAUUUAUGUUGGAAAAGACUUUCAAGAUCAUCAUGUUCAAGCAUCAACCUGACCUACUGAGUCCCAUCACUAAUCAUGUCCCUUAGUGCCAGAUUAUUGUUAUAAUGAAGUCUCUGAAUUUCUGUUCUGUGAGAACAGAAAUUGAAAUUAGCAGGAGGGGAGCUGCUGGGAGGAUGGAAGAGUCAUAGAUAACAGUUUGGGGGCACAGGCCCCCAAGUGGAGAAUAGUGGCCUCAAGCAGAGGCGUUAAGUCAGCAUUCCCAGGCUGAAAAAUCACCACUGACACAAAUUCAAGCUUCCUGCCCUAAUGGAGCCAUCUGAUGGAAAUUUUGAAAAAGGGAGUUGGACCAUGAUCUUAUAAAUAAGAACAGAUUUUCUGAAGAGGGAAUAAAGCAGCUGUAUGCAUUUACUGAGUCUUCUUUACAGUGAAAUGUCACAGUACUAUUGAUAUGCUUUGCAAGUUCCUCUAUCCAAAACUAUUAGGGUGUAAGCAGUUUGAUUACAGAAUGAUAGGAAGCAAAUCUGCCUUGUGGUAUGUCAAGACAAGUGUCUUAACUCUUGUGCAAAUACCUACUAGACACAUUAAGGAAAAAAAAAAAUCUAUAUUGAAAAUCUAGUUGUUAAUAGCCUAGUGAUUAAGCAUUAAACAGAUGGCAAAAUAAGACACGAGAAUUUUGCUACUGUUGGUAAUUAACUGUGCUUACGGCUUUGCAUGUACAUCUAACCUCAGGAACAGAAUGAUAGCCACUGAACUUGAAGCUGGAUCAAGUCAUUUUAAAGCAUUGCAUUUUCUUGGAUCUCCAUAGUAACCUCCCUGCCAUUUAUCUAUCCAAAUCAGUUGAAUCUAGGCAUAAGUCCAUGGGGGACUUAGAGGGGAACAAAACUCCAUAUUGUUGCCUUUUCAAACAUAAAUCAGAUAUGUUUUUAAAAUUUUCUACUUUAAUGUUUUACAUGUACAGUGGUAUAAAUCUCAAUGUUUUAGCUUUUCUGUAUAUGCUGUAGAUUACACCUGGCUGCCUGACAGAAAGCUGUCAAAGUAAAUGACCAGAAUUAAUUACCACUUGGUACAGUAAAACUUAAAUAGGGAUGCAGAACUCAAAAGAGCUCCAUGGAAUAAUGUACUCAUAUACAGCUCUCUAAAUUAUGGUUAAUUAGGUAUAUAAACAAAUCUUUUCAAUACACUGUGGCAGUAUGGAAGUAAAUUGUCAUUUUAAAUUAAAAUCUCAUUAGUAAACUAGUAUAUAUUUUAGUAUCUGAAAUAUUCUUGUGUUUGUACUGAUGCCAUGUUAUUGACUUAACUGUCAGUGUUCUCUAGUCACCUGAAGUGGAUAAUAAUAAAGAAAGAUGUGAAAUGAUUCCAUUCAUUCUGGUUUUCAACUUACACCUCUUCCCAGUGCUGCAAACCCAAGGGAAAAGAAUUCCAUUAUUAAGUCUGAAGCCUAAGAUUCCACUGCCUCAGCUACUAAGAGGAUUUUAGAAAAUGGACAAACCCGCCUACAAGAGGCUGAAGAGAGGAAAAAUAGACAGUUUACAGUCCUAGGGGGAUUAAUAAAUCUUCCCGUAUUCCUUGGAAUCCCAUUGAACUAAAGUUACAGUAAGGCCAUGGAGACAAAGGUCUUAUGCUUCUUGCUUUCCUGAUCAAAGUGGAUUUUUUUUUUUUUUUUUUUUUGAGAGAGCAAAUGAUAUUUUCCCCCGCUUAUUUUAUCUCUAAAUUGCUGUGCCAUGGUUUGUUUAGUAGUUGGAAACUUCAGAACUUCAAGUUUACAAAUUAAUUUACCAAAGAAAAUAUUAAAUUGACGACAAUAGUUUUGAAGCUGCAGUGUUUAGGAUGUCUUACAUAUUGAAAGUACAUAUUUCUGUGAUAAUGUGGGAGAAUAUGGAAAAUAUUUCUGUAGUCAAAAAAAGCACGCUGUUUAGGCUGGAAAAAAAAAAAAA
Molecule: long non-coding RNA, 4033 nt
Organism: Oxyura jamaicensis (ruddy duck)
Lineage: Eukaryota; Metazoa; Chordata; Aves; Anseriformes; Anatidae
Exons: 2
Source: RefSeq, a predicted model, not a curated record